This 303-nucleotide ribosomal RNA is filed under the name uncultured bacterium. RNAcentral describes it as "partial 16S ribosomal RNA". It matches the Rfam family "Bacterial small subunit ribosomal RNA", at positions 507 to 807 of the family's 1533-position model. The record is from RNAcentral.
AGCAGUCGCCGCGGGAAUACGUAGGGUGCAAGCGUUAUCCGGAUUUAUUGGGUUUAAAGGGUCCGUAGGCGGAUCUGUAAGUCAGUGGUGAAAUCUCACAGCUUAACUGUGAAACUGCCAUUGAUACUGCAGGUCUUGAGUAAAUUUGAAGUGGCUGGAAUAAGUAGUGUAGCGGUGAAAUGCAUAGAUAUUACUUAGAACACCAAUUGCGAAGGCAGGUCACUAAGAUUUAACUGACGCUGAUGGACGAAAGCGUGGGGAGCGAACAGGAUUAGAUACCCCAGUAGUCCCUGUCUCUUAUAC